AAGCCUGACAGAGACACAACAAAAAAAGAAAAUUUAAGGCCAAUAUCCCUGAGGAACAUCAAUGCGAAAAUCCUCAAUAAAACACUGGCAAACCAAAUCCAGCAGCACAUCAAAAAGCUUAUCCACCAUGAUCAAAUCAGCUUCAUACCUGGGAUGUAAGGCUGGAUCAACAUAUGCAAAUCGAUAAAUGUAAUCUAUCACGUAAACAGAAUCAAUCACAAAAAAACACGAUUAUCUCAAUAGAUGCAGAAAAGGCCUUUGACAAAAUUAAACAGCGCUUCAUGCUAAAAACUCUCAAUAAACUGGGUAUCAAUGGAAUGUAUCUCAAAAUAAUAAGAGCUAUUUAUGACAAACCCA
RNAcentral lists this long non-coding RNA (357 nucleotides) under Homo sapiens (human). Its description in RNAcentral is "non-protein coding lnc-P2RY2-5:1". Lineage: Eukaryota; Metazoa; Chordata; Mammalia; Primates; Hominidae. The record is from RNAcentral.